GCACGUAGUUAGCCGGGACUUCUUCUGCAGGUACCGUCAGUUUCCCUUCGUCCCUGCCGAAAGGGGUUUACAACCCGAAGGCCUUCAUCCCCCACGCGGCGUCGCUGCGUCACGCUUUCGCGCAUUAGCGCAAGAUCCCCCACUGCUGCCUCCCGUAGGAGUCUGGGCCGUGUCUCAGUCCCAGUGUGGCUGGCCGUCCCCUCAGACCAGCUACCCGUCGUCGCCUUGGUGGGCCGUUACCCCACCAACAAGCUGAUAGGCCGCGGGCCCAUCCCGGACCGUCGGAGCUUUCCCGGCGCGACCAUGCGAUCGCGCCGGAGUAUCCGGUAUUGGCUCAGGUUUCCCUGGGUUAUCCCGGUGUCCGGGGCAGGUUGCCCACGUGUUACUCACCCGUUCGCCGCUCUCCCCUCGGAAGGGUUACCCCUCCUGAGGUUCCCGCUCGACUUGCAUGUGUUAGGCACGCCGCCAGCGUUCGUC
This 477-nucleotide ribosomal RNA is filed under the name uncultured bacterium. Its description in RNAcentral is "partial 16S rRNA". The record is from RNAcentral.